UGGGGAAGCGAUCUCCCCUUCAGGCGACAUGCCCAAGCAUCGC
This 43-nucleotide non-coding RNA is filed under the name unclassified sequences. The record is from RNAcentral.